RNAcentral lists this long non-coding RNA (707 nucleotides) under Struthio camelus australis. RNAcentral describes it as "lncRNA (ENSSCUG00000012481.1)". Lineage: Eukaryota; Metazoa; Chordata; Aves; Struthioniformes; Struthionidae. The record is from RNAcentral.
AUAACUUGUAAAAUCUGCUGCUUUAUUUUUCUGCCUGGUAAACGUUUCUUUUGCUGCGCAGGACACAUCAGCCCACCAGUACCUCGAAGUUCACAACAGAGAUGGCAGUCAUAUUUCUCUUGGCAUUUUAGACUGAAGUUAAUUAACAUUUUUAUAGGCACGAUAAUUAACAUUUUAUGAGCUGGAUUUCCUCAUCCCUUGAACCUACUUUGGCAUCACUUCAUACUGGAAAAUUGCAGUAUUCCAGUGCCGGUUCUUUCACCUCUCUGGAUCUUGGUUGACUUGCAAUGAGUGAUCUAGACCUGGAGUACAUACUGUGCAAUAUGUUUUGCCUUGCCAGACUUGAGAGAAGCACCUCAUUAAGGGAACUUACAGAAGUGCUGGAGGUUUGCUCAGCUACACAGAGUUUUGCAACAGACAUGUCUCUUGCAAUCUCCUGGUGCUAUUUGCAGUAGCAGGAACCCUAUGUCUAUGGAAAGACGCACGGUGUGGCGUAGCGGAAAACAGUGUAUCAGUAUUAUCUACUGGAGGGAUCACAUAGAAUGGAGCGUUAUGUCAUUUAAUGCACAGAGGUUCAAGACACUUCCAUGGCUUCAGCUGGCUGGGGUGAAUGUCCUCCUUUAGAGUCACUUUACCUAAGAAACCCCAAGGAGGUCAAAUGAGACAGAAAUGAAAGGUAAGUGUAAUAUAUGACCUUGUAAAUUGUU